Perognathus longimembris pacificus (Pacific pocket mouse) is the source of this 2093-nucleotide long non-coding RNA. RefSeq lists it as uncharacterized. The record is from RefSeq and is a predicted model, not a curated record. NCBI's taxonomy places the organism in Eukaryota, Metazoa, Chordata, Mammalia, Rodentia, Heteromyidae. The transcript is spliced from 3 exons.
GACUGUCACUCCCAGGUAGCUGAUACUCUAUAUUCUGGUCCAUUUAUAUAAAUAAAGAUGGAUAUAUAUUCAGUCCAUUUAGAUAAGUAUGCGUUUCAACCAAAAUCAUUACUCCUCUUCCAUUUUAGUGCCUAAUUUUUUGUUUGUAAAAGAUGGCCUCUUUUCUACUACACUAAAAUAAUGUAAAAUUACUAGAGAGUUGUUCAGGUAACAGUAAGUGGACUGAUAUUGUCAUUUAGUUAUCUUGGAUACUGGUAACUUUAAAUGUUAUAUUCAGAAACUUUGUUAAAAAGAGUAUCUCAAGCAAAAAGAUAACAAUAAAAAGAAAACUAUGCAAACUGGUGGGAGGAGGACCAAAGAUGCACAGGCUUCAAAUCAGAAUUUGAAAAAUCACUAAUUCCAUCCAAAUCCCUCAUUUUUCAGGUGGGGAAACUGCAGUCCAGAGGGUUUCUUGAACUGCCCAAGGACACAGCACUAUUUAGUGAUACAAGCUGAGACCAAAACUGAGGUCCCCCUGAUUCCUGGUUCAGAGUUCUUUCUAACAUACAAGGAACACACAAAUAAAAGUUUAUCUUAAUUAACCGUAUAAGACCUCCACAAUGUGUCUGUCAUGAACUUUGUUGUCUAUACCAAGCCACCAGUAAAGCACUAAGAAGUCCAGUUCUGGACUUCAAAUAUAUACUCUAACAUUUACCAAGGCACCUUGGGCAAGUUAUGUCACCUCUUUGCCUCAGACUCCUCAUCUCUAAAUGACAACUCAAAAUACUUCUGUUCUAGCUUACAUGGAAUAAUUGCAUAAAGCAUUUAGAACAGGGCCUCACACAUACAAAAUGCUUGUUUCAUAGGAAAAAUGAUAAGGAUAAGAAGUAAGUUCAUUACAGGUGUCCAUUACUAGUACUCUUCCCAAGACUGAGCCAAUAUGAAGAAAUUAAAAUACACAGGAUUCGGUAAAUGAACCAUUACAGCAUUUUAAAUAGCAAAAGCACAAUGUCAAUAUUUUUUAAAAUAAUUUAUAGUUGUAUAAUUUAUGAGGGCAAAGAGAGCCAGUAUCACUUGGUUGUUAGGAAUGACAUGUUUAGAUAAAGGAGAUGCUAUAGGGUUUAGUACAGUGGAUAGAACAGAGCUAAUGUCUAAGAAAAUGGUGGUUCUCCCUGAGCAGUAAGUAGUAUUGAGUUGCUUUGUGCAGAGGAUUUAAUGUUUCCUAUCCAUGAGGCACCAUUAUUAGGACUGAGAGGACUAUUUGAAAAAAUAGUUGUUAGUGAUGGUGUCCUCUUAUAGGCGAUUUAACAUACAACAGAUGUAAUUUUACUGAUUUAUUUAGGGUCAAUCUUUAAUGGAGGUAGACCAAAUGAAAUAAAACCAAGUAAAUGUAAAACUGUUUAUGAAGUAAAGCAACUCAAAAAUUCUAUUCUCGUCUGAUACUAGCAAUCCUGUCAGAAGCUGGGAUGGAGACACUAAUUUCAUUUUACAAUGAGGAAACCAAGGCUCAGAAAACUGAACUGAAAUCACAGAGAAAGGGGAAAAGCUAGGUUGUUGUAAUUGGUUUUCAGGUGUUCCUUCUACCAUAGCACCAUGCAUCUCAGAGCACUAACAGCUCUUCAAGACCUGCCCAACCUACUUAAGGUUAACAUUUACAGGCUAAUAUUUAUAUUGAAGAGAUCACAUGGGUUAUUUCAUUUCACCCUUAUGAGCCAAGACAUGAGUGAUAUUACUAAGCAUCAGUGUCUGACUCAAUUAUAUACCAAUUCAAUUAAUAUAACUUCAAUUAAUGCAUUUGACUGAGUUACUUCUCAUUGUUUAAGUAAACUAUCUGCAAAUUGCUAACAUUUUAAUACACAAAAAGAUUUCAGAGUGAUUUCACUAUGCAACUUCACCAGGCACUAUUUCAACACAAAUAAUCCAAUGUUCAUGUUUAACUGACAGGGCCUAACUUUCUUUUUGGCCCACUACAGAAAAAGGUACCCCUUCCCACCAAACAAGAGAACCAAAGCUCAAGCUAUCCAACAUUUCUCUGCAACACGAAUUUUAAAAAUAAAUCAGGGGGCUGGGAAUAUGGCCUAGUGGUCAAGUGCUUGCCUCAUAUACAUGAAGCC